This 19-nucleotide small nuclear RNA is filed under the name Arabidopsis thaliana (thale cress). RNAcentral's name for it is "snRNA_03619". The record is from RNAcentral. Lineage: Eukaryota; Viridiplantae; Streptophyta; Magnoliopsida; Brassicales; Brassicaceae.
GCGGGAAAAAAGUUUGGCG